RNAcentral lists this ribosomal RNA (1342 nucleotides) under uncultured Flavobacterium sp. RNAcentral describes it as "bacterial SSU rRNA". It matches the Rfam family "Bacterial small subunit ribosomal RNA", at positions 29 to 1396 of the family's 1533-position model. The record is from RNAcentral. Lineage: Bacteria; Pseudomonadati; Bacteroidota; Flavobacteriia; Flavobacteriales; Flavobacteriaceae.
ACGUACGCUGGCGGCACGCCUAACACAUGCAAGUCGAACGAAGUAGCAAUACUUAGUGGCAGACGGGUGAGUAACAUGUGGGUAUCUGCCCUUUGGCCUGGAAUAACACGAGGAAACUUGUGCUAAUACCGGAUAAGUCUUUACGGAGAAAGCUUUAUGCACCAUUGGAUGAGCCCGCACUUGAUUAGUUAGUUGGUAGGGUAAUGGCCUACCAAGACUGUGAUCAAUAGCUGAUUUGAGAGGAUGAUCCCCCACACUGGUACUGAGACACGGACCAGACUCCUACGGGAGGCAGCAGUGAGGAAUAUUGGACAAUGGAGGCAACUCUGAUCCAGCCAUGCCGCGUGCAGGAAGACGGCCCUAUGGGUUGUAAACUGCUUUUAUACAGGAAGAAUGGUACCUACGUGUAGGUAUUUGACGGUACUGUACGAAUAAGGAUCGGCUAACUCCGUGCCAGCAGCCGCGGUAAUACGGAGGAUCCAAGCGUUAUCCGGAAUCAUUGGGUUUAAAGGGUCCGUAGGCGGUUUUUUAAGUCAGAGGUGAAAUCCUGCAGCUCAACUGUAGCAUUGCCUUUGAUACUGAAAGACUUGAGUUAUUGUGAAGUAGUUAGAAUGUGUAGUGUAGCGGUGAAAUGCAUAGAUAUUACACAGAAUACCGAUUGCGAAAGCAGAUUACUAAUAAUAUACUGACGCUCAGGGACGAAAGCGUGGGUAGCGAACAGGAUUAGAUACCCUGGUAGUCCACGCCGUAAACGAUGGAUACUAGCUGUUCGACCAACAUUGGUUGGUUGAGUGGCUAAGCGAAAGUGAUAAGUAUCCCACCUGGGGAGUACGCUCGCAAGAGUGAAACUCAAAGGAAUUGACGGGGGCCCGCACAAGCGGUGGAGCAUGAGGUUUAAUUCGAUGAUACGCGAGGAACCUUACCAGGGCUUAAAUGUAAGUUGCAUAGAUCAGAGAUGGUCUUUUCUUCGGACUACUUACAAGGUGCUGCAUGGUUGUCGUCAGCUCGUGCCGUGAGGUGUCAGGUUAAGUCCUAUAACGAGCGCAACCCCUGUCGUUAGUUGCCAGCAAGUAAAGUUGGGUACUCUAGCGAGACUGCCGGUGCAAACCGCGAGGAAGGUGGGGAUGACGUCAAAUCAUCACGGCCCUUACGUCCUGGGCUACACACGUGCUACAAUGGCCGGUACAGAGAGCAGCCACUACGCGAGUAGGAGCGAAUCUAUAAAACCGGUCUCAGUUCGGAUCGCAGUCUGCAACUCGACUGCGUGAAGCUGGAAUCGCUAGUAAUCGGAUAUCAGCCAUGAUCCGGUGAAUACGUUCCCGGGCCUUGCACACACCGCCCG